Molecule: long non-coding RNA, 2460 nt
Filed under: Marmota monax (woodchuck)
Lineage: Eukaryota; Metazoa; Chordata; Mammalia; Rodentia; Sciuridae
Source: RNAcentral
AUCACUCAAGUGCAGUGCCUUGCCUCGCAUCCUGUAUCGUGACGAUGGUGGACGAAGGGGGAUAGCUGAGGCUGAACUGUGGCUGUUUAUAACGACAAACAAGUUGACAGCACCCUGAAAGAAAGGCACGGACUUCAAGGCGAUAGAAAAGUACUAAGUCUUGCCAAUCUGGGUAUCAAAAUACAUUGUAAACUUUUACGAAUUACUUCUUUGCCAACAGCCAAAAUAUGAGUGAGUACAUCUGGAUAAAAUACAAAACAUGAAAAUAUCUGAAAGUAUAUGUAAUAUACUAGAAUACUUUCUAAAUGUUGCACAGAACUUACCAUCAAAUCAUCUAUUUGAAGAGUGAGUCUUAAGUAGCUGAACCUUAAGCUGCAGAGUAAGUACAACUUCUCUGCAUCCUCAAAAUUUUGUAGCUCUGAAAUAUAUUUCAUUUCUUGUUAAAUUAAGUUCCUUCUCUUACCAGAAGCACAAAUAUUUUUUCCUAUGUUCAUAUGUUACUUGAGCAUCUGGAAAAAGAGUACGUUGUCCAAUGUAAGUCAUUUUGGCUUUAGCAAACUGAAGGCCAUGCAUUCAAUCCUCAGCACCAGAAUUAAAUAAAUAAAUAAAUAAAUAAAAGAUUUUUUAAAAGCUGGGAAAAAUGGAAGUCUUCUUUUCAGUUCUUUCUUUCUUAGGAAUGUUCUUGCCAAUAUAAAAUGUAUAAAGAGGCAUUUGUGUUUUCUUCUAGUACAUUACUAUGUAGAAGCAAGGGGAACUUUUCAUCUGUGCUUAUAGAUAUUAUUACAUUUCUUAUAGAUAUGUUUUAUUACAUACAUGCAAUUAUAGGUUACUAAUUCUGUGGCAUGCUGAUAAAAAAGAGAACAAGUAAUAAAAGAUUAUUACUACUGCCAAAUUAUUGCUUUCCUUCAUAAUUUUUGCUUUAAAAAACUGAACUCAAGUAUACUUAUCUGUUCUUUUAUUUUAUUCAUUUAUACCCAUACUCUGAAUACCUAGGAUGUAAUUGACAUAAUGACUCUUAAGACUCUUCCUUAAAAGCUUUAUGUUUGAUUAAUCAGAAAUUUAAAACUUCAGAGAUAGGACUCAAUUUCAAGUAAAACUUUUCCUCUUCCAUUUCAAACAGAAGCACUCUGGUGGUAGGAAAUUAUGAACUGCCCAUUUUAAAAGUUAAGACAGUGUUAAAAACUGAACAUUGGAAAUACCUGAUUUAUGUAUAUCCUGUAAAUCUAAAUAUUGAAUAGAUUGAACCAUGCUAAUUCAUUUGAGUCCUACAUUUCCUUUAGCUUUAAAUUACUUUAAAAAAAGAAAAGCAAGGAUUACUAUGGUUUUAAUUUGGUCUUUUAUUAUUGUUUUAUCGUUCAUCUCUCCUUACCUAUAGUAUUUUUAACAACUAAAAUUAAUUUAAAUGCCACUCAUAUGACUAUAACCACUGUAGACCUCUUGUGUGUAUCACAUUUCACUUAAGGUAAGGUACUGUGUGAUGGUCCUUUAUUUCAUGUAUGAAUAAAAAAAUUGAAUGCUGCCAUUAUACAUGUAGUGGCUUUCCAAUGUCAGUGAUGUCAAAAUGAUAGAAAAAAAGAGCAUCUAAGACUCAUUGAAAUACAUAGUCCCUACAAGAUAUUUGUAAAAUCACUAUAAUAGGACUUCUUCAUUAAGUGAAAUACUCUGUUGAUUCAUAGUAAUAGUAAUAAUUACAAUAGCCAACAAUUAAUGAGCUGUUGCUUGUGGUAGAAACUGUUCAAACAUUUUACAUAGAUUUUAAUUUUAAGCAUCACACUAUCAUCCCAGUAGGUAACUACUAAUUUAAAUCAGUAUUUUAUUGGAGAUAAAAAUUGAUGGAUAGGAGAACUAAAUAGCAUGUCACAGAGGUUAAAGUAGAAUUCAAGCAAAUGUUGAGCUAAAUUCAAGGUCUAUGCUCUUUCUAGGCAAGUAGAACACUCUGGGAUGGGAUAUAGCUCCAUGGUAGAGACUUUAUCUAGGAGGCUCCAGGUCGUGGUUUCUAUGCCAGCACCUAAAAAACCAAAAUAAUCAAAAAUAAAAGAUCAAUGGGUCCAGACCCAGUAGCUUAUGCCUAUAUUUCUAGUUACUUGGGAGAAUGAAGCAGAAGCAUUGCAAGUUCAAUGACAGCCUGGGAAACUUAUGGAGACUCUGCCUCAAAAUUGAAAAAAAAAAUCAUAAUAAUAAAAAUGGGCUUAGGAUAUUGCUCCUGGAUUAAGUGCUCCUGGCUUCAGUCCAUAGCAGUAUCCAAAAAAGACAAAAGAAAAGGUCAACAGAAUAGGCUGCUCAUUUAUUAACUUAGUGUGUACUAACAGCUAGUAAAUAUUAUACUUUCUUUAGAAAAUAAUAGAGGAUUUGCAUACUAUUUAAUGUUGAUAAUUGCAUAAAUAAUCAUGUAUUUUGAGAGGAUGCUUUAUGAACUUCUAACAAAGCCUCUUGCCUUCAUAGGACUGCUCUACAUUAUGC